RNAcentral lists this ribosomal RNA (456 nucleotides) under uncultured bacterium. Its description in RNAcentral is "partial 16S ribosomal RNA". It matches the Rfam family "Bacterial small subunit ribosomal RNA", at positions 338 to 794 of the family's 1533-position model. The record is from RNAcentral.
CCUACGGGUGGCAGCAGUGGGGAAUAUUGCACAAUGGGGGAAACCCUGAUGCAGCGACGCCGCGUGAGUGAAGAAGUAUUUCGGUAUGUAAAGCUCUAUCAGCAGGGAAGAAACCCACCCUCCGGGGUGGCUGACGGUACCUGACUAAGAAGCCCCGGCUAACUACGUGCCAGCAGCCGCGGUAAGACGUAGGGGGCAAGCGUUAUCCGGAUUUACUGGUUGAAAAGGGAGCGAAGGGGGCAAGGCAAGUCAGAUGUGAAAACCCGGGGCCCAACCCCGGGAGUGCAUUUGAAACUGUCUGGCUAGAGGGCAGGAGAGGUAAGUGGAAUUCGUGGUGUAGCGGUGAAAUGCAUAGUUAUUAGGAGGAACACCAGUGGCGAGGGCGGCUUACUGGACUGUAACUGACACUGAGGCUCGAAAGCGUGGGGAGCAAACAGGAUUAGAUACCCCAGUAGU